RNAcentral lists this ribosomal RNA (496 nucleotides) under uncultured bacterium. Its description in RNAcentral is "partial 16S ribosomal RNA". It matches the Rfam family "Bacterial small subunit ribosomal RNA", at positions 28 to 506 of the family's 1533-position model. The record is from RNAcentral.
GAUGAACGCUGGCGGCGUGCCUAAUACAUGCAAGUCGAGCGAACAGACGAGGAGCUUGCUUCUCUGACGUUAGCGGCGGACGGGUGAGUAACACGUGGAUAACCUACCUAAAAGACUGGGAUAACUUCGGGAAACCGGAGCUAAUACCGGAUCAUAUAUUGAUCCGUAUGGUUCAAUAGUGAAAGACGGUUUUGUUGUUACUUAUAGAUGGAUCCGCGUCGCAUUAGCUAGUUGGUAAGGUAACGGCUUACAAAGGCAAUGAUGAGUAGCCGACCUGAGAGGGUGAUCGGACACACUGAAACUGAGACACGGUACAGACUCCUACGGGAGACAGGAGUAGGGAAUCUUCCGCAAUAGGCGAAAGCUUGACAGAGCAACGCCGAGUGAGUGAUGAAGGUCUUCGGAACGUAAAACUCUGUUAUUAGGGGAGAACAAAUGUGUAAGUAAAUAUGCACGUCUGGACGGUACCUAAUCAGAAAGCCAGGAAUAACUACGU